This 450-nucleotide ribosomal RNA is filed under the name uncultured bacterium. RNAcentral describes it as "bacterial SSU rRNA". It matches the Rfam family "Bacterial small subunit ribosomal RNA", at positions 29 to 526 of the family's 1533-position model. The record is from RNAcentral.
AACGAACGCUGGCGGCAGGCUUAACACAUGCAAGUCGAACGCCCCGCAAGGGGAGUGGCAGACGGGUGAGUAACGCGUGGGAAUCUACCCAGUUCUACGGAAUAACCCAGGGAAACUUGGACUAAUACCGUAUACGCCCUACGGGGGAAAGAUUUAUCGGAAUUGGAUGAGCCCGCGUUGGAUUAGCUAGUUGGUGGGGUAAUGGCCUACCAAGGCGACGAUCCAUAGCUGGUCUGAGAGGAUGAUCAGCCACACUGGGACUGAGACACGGCCCAGACUCCUACGGGAGGCAGCAGUGGGGAAUAUUGGACAAUGGGCGCAAGCCUGAUCCAGCCAUGCCGCGUGAGUGAUGAAGGCCUUAGGGUUGUAAAGCUCUUUCAGUGGGGACGAUAAUGACGGUACCCACAGAAGAAGCCCCGGCUAACUUCGUGCCAGCCGCCGCCGUAACAC